CGGGGCUUAAAGUCUUGUAAUUGGAAUGAUGGGAAUUUAAACCUCUUCCAGAGUAUCAAUUGGAGGGCAAGUCUGGUGCCAGCAGCCGCGGUAAUUCCAGCUCCAAUAGCGUAUAUUAAAAUUGUUGCAGUUAAAAAGCUCGUAGUUGAAUUUCUGCUGCAUUGCUUGUGUCCCUUUGGGGUCUGUGCAUGUGGCUUUUUUCGGACGGAGUUUCUUUGUCUGAAUGUUUACUUUGAGAAAAUUAGAGUGCUCAAAGCAGGCUUUCGCCUUGAAUAGUUUAGCAUGGAAUAAUAAAGUAGGACUUUGGUUCUAUUUUGUUGGUUUUAGGUACCAAAGUAAUGGUUAAUAGGAACAGUUGGGGGCAUUCGUAUUUAACUGUCAGAGGUGAAAUUCUUAGAUUUGUUAAAGACGAACUACUGCGAAAGCAUUUGCCAAGGAUGUUUUCAUUAAUCAAGAAC
This 458-nucleotide ribosomal RNA is filed under the name Theileria annulata. RNAcentral's name for it is "SSU rRNA". It matches the Rfam family "Eukaryotic small subunit ribosomal RNA", at positions 486 to 984 of the family's 1831-position model. The record is from RNAcentral. Lineage: Eukaryota; Apicomplexa; Aconoidasida; Piroplasmida; Theileriidae.